AAUGCCCAGUGAUUUAGAAGUGGGUGUGCGUGACCGUGAGAACAAGACCAAGGGGGAAACCCUAUUUCUUCAAAAUCUUGCAAAUUAAAGGAGAAAAGGGCUAAAUUUUGAAUGCAUGAACUAAGAAUGAUGAUCAUCUAAGCAUACCCAACAUCAAGAACGUGUCAAGGAGAGGUCAAGCAUAGGAGGAUAACGGGUCAAGAUAAGGCAAGGUGACAAAUACACUUAUUGGAGUACUCGAGGUAAGUGAAUUUCGAUUCACUUUUUAGUAGGUUUAAUAGAUUUUAAUACUUAUGUUUACGAAACAUCAUGAAAGAACAUGUGAUAAUCAGAAGUACAAAGCCAAUAAUGCCUCAUUAUUGAAGAAGGUUGUAUUUAAGCCGAAAGUAAAUUGGUGGGUUUAAACGGGUCGAAUUUUAUGUGCAUAUGUUGCGUAAUGUAAUGAAAUUCGUUAGGGUUAAGACCUUGGGUAAGAAUUUUAGUCAUUAUGUAAGGGGAACAUUUCCCGGACCAUUAGGAACAAGUUUUAUAUGAUUCGGUUGUCGGUUAGUGAAUGAACGGAUUGUUUCGUGUUAGUGUAGGAAAUUUUAUAAGUAUAUGUGUAUGGGAAUCCAAAGGCCACGUGGGUUGAAUCGUAGAUUGUCUAUACUAUGUAAAGUUGUAAAUGUGACAUUCCGGCAUAAACCUACAUGUAAAAGAAGCUUGUGUAUAUAUUCGUGAUUAAUUGAUUGUGCGUAGGAAGGAACAUUGGCAUGUAUGAAGGUACGCAUAUAUAUAUAUAUAAGUGUAUAUAUAUAUAUAUGUAUGUAUGUAUGAUAAUAAGUACGUAGGUGUGAAUGUAUGUGUGAAUGAAUGUUCAAUGCUUAAGACAUAUGCAUGAACGUAUCAAAGUGUUCGAGUAUUUAUGGAUACUAAUGAUGUGCGUUGAGUUGGAAUGUAAUGUAGGUAUGGGAUCGUUGGCUUCAUGAAGAAAUGGAGCUGGAUUUGGAUAAGAGUAUUUAAGAAAGCGCUUGGACAAUUCCACGACUACUUUAUAGAAUGCUCUACGAAAUUUUAUUAUAUAGUUUAAUGUUGAAUGGUAUGUUAAUGACUAAUGGUUUGGUUGUACGUGGUGUCCACAGGUAUCGCUUGGGUUUUCUCUACAUUUAUUGAAGUGAAGCGGACUUAGUUCGAGUUGAGAGCAAGGAUUGUACGGGGUAGAAUGGUCACAUAGUGUAACUCAUAUAGGUUUUGAAGUAUUAAUGUUAUAAAACGUUAUAAAUCCGUUUUAAUGAAUAUAUGGCAUUUCGCAUUUGAACCUUCAUGUGUUUGAUAUGUCUAUUAAAGAACGAAAUUUUUGGGC
Long non-coding RNA from Helianthus annuus (common sunflower), 1342 nucleotides. RefSeq lists it as uncharacterized. The transcript has 2 exons. The record is from RefSeq and is a predicted model, not a curated record. Lineage: Eukaryota; Viridiplantae; Streptophyta; Magnoliopsida; Asterales; Asteraceae.